This 373-nucleotide long non-coding RNA is filed under the name Lupinus mutabilis. RNAcentral's name for it is "partial ncRNA". Lineage: Eukaryota; Viridiplantae; Streptophyta; Magnoliopsida; Fabales; Fabaceae. The record is from RNAcentral.
AUUCACACUACAUUAACCCUAUAAGUAGCCAUGAGUUCUGGGUUAGUGAGAACCAGAAACCUAAACCUGAUCCACCCAAAUUGAAGAGGCCAUCAGGAAGGCCAAAGAAGAGUAGAAGAAGGGAUGUGCAUUCAGAAGCUGCCACUAGUGCAUCACAAAAGCUGACCCGGACUUGGAAGCCGAAAUGUCCAAAAUACAAUGAAGAAGGUCAUUAUACUAAAACUUGCAAGGGUCCUGCCAUGAAGAAGAUGAAGAAGAAUGCACCAAAUGAUCCUCCACCAACUGUUGAACAAGAUGUACAACAAUCACUUACACAAGAAAGUGUCAAUCGGAAUGUUAGAUACCUCGUUCUCCUAUUUGAAGAUGAUCCUCC